This 460-nucleotide ribosomal RNA is filed under the name uncultured bacterium. RNAcentral's name for it is "partial 16S ribosomal RNA". It matches the Rfam family "Bacterial small subunit ribosomal RNA", at positions 338 to 795 of the family's 1533-position model. The record is from RNAcentral.
CCUACGGGUGGCAGCAGUGAGGAAUAUUGGUCAAUGGCCGGAAGGCUGAACCAGCCAUGCCGCGUGAAGGAUGAAGGUUCUAUGGAUCGUAAACCUCUUUUAUAAGGGAAUAAAGUGUGGGACGUGUCCUAUUUUGUAUGUACCUUAUGAAUAAGGAUCGGCUAACUCCGUGCCAGCAGCCGCGGUAAUACGGAGGAUCCGAGCGUUAUCCGGAUUUAUUGGGUUUAAAGGGUGCGUAGGCGGCCUUUUAAGUCAGCGGUGAAAGUCUGUGGCGCAACCAUAGAAUUGCCGUUGAAACUGGGGGGCUUGAGUAUGUUUGAGGCAGGCGGAAUGCGUGGUGUAGCGGUGAAAUGCUUAGAUAUCACGCAGAACCCCGAGUGCGAAGGCAGCCUGCCAAGCCAUGACUGACGCUGAUGCACGAAAGCGUGGGGAUCAAACAGGAUUAGAUACCCUUGUAGUC